UACGUAGGGUGCAAGCGUUAAUCGGAAUUACUGGGCGUAAAGCGUGCGCAGGCGGUUUUGUAAGCCAGAUGUGAAAUCCCCGGGCUUAACCUGGGAAUGGCAUUUGGGACUGCAAGGCUGGAGUUUGGCAGAGGAGACUGGAAUUCCCGGUGUAGCAGUGAAAUGCGUAGAUAUCAGGAAGAACACCAAUGGCGAAAGCAGCUCUCUGGGACGGUACUGACGCUGAGACGCGAAAGCGUGGGGAGCGAACAGG
This 253-nucleotide ribosomal RNA is filed under the name uncultured bacterium. RNAcentral describes it as "partial 16S ribosomal RNA". It matches the Rfam family "Bacterial small subunit ribosomal RNA", at positions 524 to 776 of the family's 1533-position model. The record is from RNAcentral.